UACGUAGGGUGCGAGCGUUGUCCGGAAUUACUGGGCGUAAAGCGCGCGCAGGCGGUUCUUCAAGUCAGAGGUGAAAGCCCAGAGCUCAACUCUGGAAUGGCCUUUGAGACUAGAGAACUUGGGUACGGGAGAGGUGAGUGGAAUUCCGAGUGUAGAGGUGAAAUUCGUAGAUAUUCGGAAGAACACCAGUGGCGAAGGCGGCUCACUGGCCCGUUACCGACGCUCAGGCGCGACAGCGUGGGGAGCAAACAGG
Molecule: ribosomal RNA, 253 nt
Filed under: uncultured bacterium
Lineage: Bacteria
Description: partial 16S ribosomal RNA
Rfam family: Bacterial small subunit ribosomal RNA
Source: RNAcentral